Molecule: long non-coding RNA, 265 nt
Filed under: Gossypium barbadense (sea-island cotton)
Lineage: Eukaryota; Viridiplantae; Streptophyta; Magnoliopsida; Malvales; Malvaceae
Description: long non-coding RNA (GBAR_LNC005426)
Source: RNAcentral
GAAACCUUGCGAACCGUGUUCACAUAUCUAAAAACAUAGGGGACGUUUGUGAAGACCUUUCCUGUUUAAGGGAACUUACCCCACGAAAGACUUAGAAUGUGUAAUAGCCCAUUUUCAGUAAAAUCGAAAUAGUGGUUUUAGGACCACAAAUCUGAUGAGUAAAUUAUUAUUUUAUUAUUUUAAUUUCUAUGGGAUGUUAGUAAGGUUUUAUUAAAAUUUUGUUAUGAAAUUUUGAUGUUUGUAUGCUUAAUUACGUAAAAAGGAC